This 74-nucleotide transfer RNA is filed under the name Thermoprotei archaeon ex4572_64. RNAcentral describes it as "tRNA-Met". It matches the Rfam family "tRNA". From Rfam's summary of the family: Transfer RNA (tRNA) molecules are approximately 80 nucleotides in length. Their secondary structure includes four short double-helical elements and three loops (D, anti-codon, and T loops). The record is from RNAcentral. Lineage: Archaea; Thermoproteati; Thermoproteota; Thermoprotei.
GCCGGGGUAGCUCAGCUGGUUAGAGCGCCCGGCUCAUAACCGGGAGGUCCCGGGUUCAAAUCCCGGCCCCGGCA